RNAcentral lists this ribosomal RNA (955 nucleotides) under Neopentadactyla mixta. RNAcentral describes it as "SSU rRNA". The record is from RNAcentral. Lineage: Eukaryota; Metazoa; Echinodermata; Holothuroidea; Dendrochirotida; Phyllophoridae.
UCCCGACACGGGGAGGUAGUGACAAAAAAUAUCGAUACAGGCCUCUUCGGAGGCGCUGUGAUCGGAAUGAGUACACUUUAAWWCCUUUAACGAGGAUCUACUGGAGGGCAAGUCUGGUGCCAGCAGCCGCGGUAAUUCCAGCUCCAGCAGCGUAUAUUAAAUUUGCUGCAGUUAAAAAGCUCGUAGUCGGAUCUCUGGUCGGGGCGGGCGGUCCGCCGCGAGGCGAGCACUGCCCGUGUGUCGGUCGGCCUUGACRGGCCUGGCACUCUCUCCGGCCAGCGAUUCGGUCGGUCGUGCGGUGCUCUUAGCUGAGUGCCGUGCGAGGCUGAAACGUUUACUUUGAGAAAAUUAGAGUGUUCAAAGCAGGCCAAAGUGCCCGAACAGCUCAGCAUAGAAUAGUGGAAGAGGACCUCGGCUCUAUUUCGUUGGUCUCUAGAACCUGAGGUAAUGAUCAAGAGGGACUGCCGGGGGCAUCCGUAUUGCGGCGUGAGAGGUGAAAUUCUUGGAUCGUCGCAAGACGCCCGACAGCGAAAGCAUUUGCCAAGAAUGUCUUCAUUGAUCAAGAACGAAAGUCGGAGGAUCGAAGGCGAUCAGAUACCGCCCUAGUUUCGACCAUAAACGAUACCGACCCGUAAUCCGCCGGCGUUCCUCCCAUGACGCGGCGGGCAACAUACCGGGAAACCAAAGUCUUUGGGUUCCGGGGGAAGUAUGGUUGCAAAGCUGAAACUUAAAGGAAUUGACGGAAGGGCACCACCAGGAGUGGAGCCUGCGGCUUAAUUUGACUCAACACGGGGAAACCUACCCGGCCCGGACACAGUGAGGAUUGACAGAUUGAGAGCUCUUUCUCGAUUUUGUGGAUGGUGGUGCAUGGCCGUUCUUAGUUGGUGGAGUGAUUUGUCUGGUUAAUUCUGAUAACGAACGAGACUCUGGCUUGCUAUAUAGUCCGGCCACCCGU